CCUACGGGAGGCAGCAGUGAGGAAUAUUGGUCAAUGGACGAGAGUCUGAACCAGCCAAGUAGCGUGAAGGAUGACUGCCCUAUGGGUUGUAAACUUCUUUUAUAAAGGAAUAAAACGAGGCACGUGUGCCUGUUUGCAUGUACUUUAUGAAUAAGGAUCGGCUAACUCCGUGCCAGCAGCCGCGGUAAUACGGAGGAUCUGAGCGUUAUCCGGAUUUAUUGGGUUUAAAGGGAGCGUAGAUGGGUUGUUAAGUCAGUUGUGAAAGUUUGCGGCUCAACCGUAAAAUUGCAAUUGAUACUGGCAGUCUUGAGUACAGUUGAGGUAGGCGGAAUUCGUGGUGUAGCGGUGAAAUGCUUAGAUAUCACGAAGAACCCCGAUUGCGAAGGCAGCUUACUAAACUGUGACUGACAUUGAUGCUCGAAAGUGUGGGUAUCAAACAGGAUUAGAUACCCCAGUAGUC
RNAcentral lists this ribosomal RNA (460 nucleotides) under uncultured bacterium. RNAcentral's name for it is "partial 16S ribosomal RNA". It matches the Rfam family "Bacterial small subunit ribosomal RNA", at positions 338 to 795 of the family's 1533-position model. The record is from RNAcentral.